UACAGAGGUCCCAAGCGUUGUUCGGAUUCAUUGGGCGUAAAGGGUGCGUAGGUGGCGCCGUAAGUCGGGUGUGAAAUUUCGGAGCUUAACUCCGAAACUGCAUUCGAUACUGCGGUGCUUGAGGACUGGAGAGGAGACUGGAAUUCAUGGUGUAGCAGUGAAAUGCGUAGAGAUCAUGAGGAAGACCAGUGGCGAAGGCGGCAUCCUGGACCAAAACUGACGCUGAAUAGCGAAAGCCAGGGGAGCAAACGGG
RNAcentral lists this ribosomal RNA (253 nucleotides) under uncultured bacterium. RNAcentral's name for it is "partial 16S ribosomal RNA". It matches the Rfam family "Bacterial small subunit ribosomal RNA", at positions 524 to 776 of the family's 1533-position model. The record is from RNAcentral.